UAUACAUAUACAUGAUAUAUAUAUACAUAUAUAUAUAUACAUAUACAUGAUAUAUAUGUAUAUAUGUAUAUAUAUAUAUAUAUUUUUUUUUUUUUUUUGAGACAGAGCUUUGCUCUCGUCGCCCAGACUCAGUCUCAAAAAAAAUAAAUAAAUAAAAAGUGAGAUUUUAAAAAGAAAUCUUAUUAAGUCAUUUUAAGUUGGGUGUUCUGUUUCAGUCAAAUCAUCCUAAAUGAUAGCUUUUAAAAAUAAUUCUUCCCAGAAGAAUGGAUCAUGGCAGAAUACAGAAAAUGAGCUCAUGUGUGCAAGCUUCCUUUCUGAAAUCAUAACAGCUAUGUGUAUAUGAAGUGUUUACUCUGUGGCAGGUACUCUGGAAGCACCUUUUAUUCACUGUCUCAUCUGAUUCUCAUGACAGCCCUGUCAUUAUCCCCCGCCACCCCCCCCCUUCCCAUUUCACAGCUGAGGAAGUCAAGGUGCAGAAAGGUUAAAGGAACUCAUAAGUGAAGGCACUGAGAUCUGAACUCAAACAACCCAGCCUAAAAAUCCAUGGUCUCAGCCACCAUGCUGUGUUUCC
Molecule: non-coding RNA, 571 nt
Filed under: Pongo abelii (Sumatran orangutan)
Lineage: Eukaryota; Metazoa; Chordata; Mammalia; Primates; Hominidae
Source: RNAcentral